RNAcentral lists this transfer RNA (72 nucleotides) under Schizosaccharomyces japonicus yFS275. RNAcentral describes it as "tRNA-Gly (GCC) (tRNA-Gly-GCC-4-1)". The stretch from base 4 to 65 matches the Rfam family "tRNA", at positions 5 to 66 of the family's 71-position model. Rfam says of the family: Transfer RNA (tRNA) molecules are approximately 80 nucleotides in length. Their secondary structure includes four short double-helical elements and three loops (D, anti-codon, and T loops). The record is from RNAcentral. Lineage: Eukaryota; Fungi; Ascomycota; Schizosaccharomycetes; Schizosaccharomycetales; Schizosaccharomycetaceae.
GCUUUGGUGUUUAGUGGUAUAAUGAUUCGUUGCCAUCGAAUCGACCCGGGUUCGAUUCCCGGCAAUUCAGUG